AAUAUUGCACAAUGGGCGAAAGCCUGAUGCAGCAACGCCGCGUGAGGGAUGACGGCCNNNGGGUUNUAAACCUCUUUUAGUAGNGAANAAGCGCAAGUGACGGUAUCUGCAGAAAAAGCACCGGCUAACUACGUGCCAGCAGCCGCGGUAAUACGUAGGGUGCAAGCGUUGUCCGGAAUUAUUGGGCGUAAAGAGCUCGUAGGCGGCUUGUCGCGUCUGCUGUGAAAACCCGAGGCUCAACCUCGGGCUUGCAGUGGGUACGGGCAGGCUAGAGUGCGGUAGGGGAGAUUGGAAUUCCUGGUGUAGCGGUGGAAUGCGCAGAUAUCAGGAGGAACACCGAUGGCGAAGGCAGAUCUCUGGGCCGCUACUGACGCUGAGGAGCGAAAGCAUGGGGAGCGAACA
RNAcentral lists this ribosomal RNA (402 nucleotides) under uncultured bacterium. RNAcentral describes it as "partial 16S ribosomal RNA". It matches the Rfam family "Bacterial small subunit ribosomal RNA", at positions 360 to 774 of the family's 1533-position model. The record is from RNAcentral.